RNAcentral lists this ribosomal RNA (404 nucleotides) under uncultured bacterium. RNAcentral's name for it is "bacterial SSU rRNA". It matches the Rfam family "Bacterial small subunit ribosomal RNA", at positions 355 to 776 of the family's 1533-position model. The record is from RNAcentral.
UGGGGAAUAUUGGGCAAUGGACGAAAGUCUGACCCAGCUACGCCGCGUGAGUGAUAAGGCCUUCGGGUUGUAAAACUCUGUCGUGAGGGAGGAAUUUUGACGUUACCUCACAAGAAAGCACCGGCUAAAUCCGUGCCAGCAGCCGCGGUAAUACGGAUGGUGCAAGCGUUGCUCGGAAUUACUGGGCGUAAAGCGAGUGCAGGCGGAUUAUUAAGCCAGAUGUGAAAGCCCGGAGCUCAACUCCGGAACUGCAUCUGGAACUGGUAAUCUAGAGGCAGUGAGAGGGAAGUAGAAUUCCUGGUGUAGAGGUGAAAUUCGUUGAUAUCAGGAGGAAUACCUGUGGCGAAGGCGGCUUCCUGGCACUGUUCUGACGCUAAAGCUCGAAAGCGUGGGUAGCAAACAGG